Molecule: unclassified non-coding RNA, 253 nt
Filed under: uncultured Parcubacteria group bacterium
Lineage: Bacteria
Description: contains 16S-23S intergenic spacer region
Rfam family: Bacterial small subunit ribosomal RNA
Source: RNAcentral
UACGAGUGCCUCAAGCGUUAUCCGGAAUCAUUGGGCGUAAAGGAUGUGUAGGCGGUGUUGUUAGUCUUUUGUUAAAAACCCGGGCUUAACCCGGGCGAUGCGAAAGAAACGGCAACACUAGAAGAUAGGAGAGGUGAGCGGAACUUACGGUGUAGGGGUGAAAUCCGUUAAUAUCGUAGGGAACACCAAAGGCGAAGGCAGCUCACUGGCCUAAUCUUGACGCUGAGACAUGAAAGCGUGGGUAGCGAAUGGG